GCCAGCACAUAUUGUCUUUCUUUUAAUGUGUUAAUUUUCUUGAUAUUGAACAGAUCCCUCUUUCGUAAAUAUCUGAGGAUGCUUGACUGGCUUAACCAGCGAUUGUUUGAUGCACUUGGUUCCUUUGGUGUAACCAACGACUAUCCUUAAUGUGACCGUUUGAUGCAGUUGGGCAAGUAUAAUAGCUGUAUUAAUAAUGGUCUGGCGUAUAAGGACUGGUCAGUGCUUGCGGCCCCUUGAACCUGCACAUUCUCGAGGUGUCACCAUUCUUUUCUUCUCUCGAGGUAGAAGUCAGAUCUUAAGCACAUCCUUUGACAGCACAGCAAGGUUUUAAUCCUUUGACCAUUUGCUGUGUCGGAAUGUCAUCACUAAAUGUUAGAUGUAGUGGUUUUAGCUAAAUGAUGACCUCAGGGCGCGUUAUAGCUAUAAAUUGAUUACUGUUGGUCUUUAUUGGGAGAAGCAUGCCUGAUAUCUCUGUUUCGUUUGUUGUAGAAUUCAUGGCCUGAAGUAAGGUAAAUAUUUUAAAGAAUUCCGUGGAUAUUCAUCUUAUGUGAAUGAUGCCAUGUUUACUUUGAUGGAUCUCGAGUCAGCACCGCAUCUAGCGGUGAAGGUCUGGGAUGCCAAACUACAGAGUGUCUGCAGACAUUCAGACCACCUCCUCCUUUAAGGGGUGGUGAUGCAUCUGUGAAUUCUGUCCAUCCUUUCCCUAAGAAUAUAGAGCACAUUACAGUGUGCAAUAAGACGUCAUCUAUUUAUCUGAUGACUCAAGGACAGGCACUCAAGUACACUCUCUGUCAUCUGAUUUUCGAAUACUCAGCAAAAUCUGUUUUGGCCUGUAAGCUCUAAUAUCAGAACUGUAGUUGAAAGGAAACUGAAGGUAGUUCUGUUGGUGAAGCACCAUUGUGCACUGCCUGUGAGAGGGUAGUUUUUUGGAUGCAGAACCAGCUUAAACAGAAGGGGACAAAAGAGAGAGUACUAGAGUAUGUGGAUCAAACCAUGUUUCGAGAGAUGUCGCUACAACUCAAACACCAGAGCAUUUGAGUGAGCUUCAUAAAAUCCUUCCGGUGAGAGUUGCAGUGCUUGUGGUCUUGGGUCAAAUGGGCAGAUAGGCUGGUUAGCUUGGUAUAAGAAAUGAAGCACUCUUCUAUUGAAAGAGUCUCAUCCUAGGCUCUCCUUAAUAGCUACUGAUCCGGAUGCAAUAGUCGCAAGCAAUAGAGGAGGCAACAUUUGGGACAUACACUUCAGAAGGAAUUUGCAAGAUUGGGAGUUGGGUGAGCUCUCUAAUUUGUAUAGUCUGCUAGAAGGUUGCUCAGUAAAUCCUCACAUCCCAGACAGUCUGAAAUGGUAUGGUUCAAGCAAAGGAUCCUAUACAGUCAAGGAAGGCUACAACAGACUUAAAAUGACAAAUGCUUUAACUGACCAUUGGCCUUGGAAGCUGGUCUGGAAGACUAAUCUCCCUCCAAAAGUCAAAUGUUUCAUUUGGACAGCUCUUCUAAAUGGUACUCUCACUCAAGACAAAUCUCAAGAAGAAGGGUAUUCAGACAGCCAGCAGAUACUUCAUGUGCCACCUUACAGAUGAGACAGGGAACCACUUGUUCUUACAUUGCCCUGUGGCAACAGACACUUGGUCCAUGUAUUCUGCAGUUUUUGGCAUCAGCUGGUCAACACCACUCACCCUAAAAGAAGCAGUUGCAAGUUAAAGUCUAUGGAAAGUGGAUAGAUCCAUCAAGAAAAUCUGGCAAAUGGUACCAGCCUGUAUAUUUUGGUGUAUUUGGAUGGAAAGAAACAGCAGGUGUCAUGAUGGGAUUUCAACUCCUGACUGCUCCCUGAGAUCUAAAAGCUUACUGUAUCUUUUUAGUUGGAGCAAUCUUUCCCCUGUAAAUGAUGCAAUUUCCCUUUUAGAUUUCAUUAGUUCCCUCUCAAUGGCUUAACAGCCUUUAUUUUUGCUAUAGGUUUUAACUCCCAGAUCUUACUUAUUUUUUUGUUUUCUGGAGUUAUCACCUACUUUUUCUCUGUAACUUUCUUGCAUCUACUUGAUGCUUUUCAAUACAACCACUUCAUCAAAAAAAAAACAAAAAAAAACAAAAAAGAAAUGAAGCACUCUAAAUCAUCAGAAUCUGAGCGUGGGACUUUGUUUUGGGCAAAGAUAACCGGUGGACGUUCUGGUGGAACUGUUUGUGUUAUUGGGAGCAACUAUUUAAGAAGCAAUGAACAACUUAUUGAGAUUCAGCAAAGAUACAAAGCUGCCACAGGAUUCUCCAUAUGUGUUUAAAGGUUCUUUGCCUGGUGAUUCUUAUAAAUGGUGGGCUUGUUCAAGAAAUGUCACGUAUUGCGAAUGGUCAUGAUUGCAGAAGCUGCUAGUUUCUCUAGGGGAAAAAAUAGUGGCGAAGUUGCCUUGUUUUUUUCGUUGUUGAACGCAUUCUUUUUGUUUUAAUAAUUCAUACUUUUUUUUACCGUUGGAAGAUAAGAAAGUGAAUGUAUCGAGUUUGAUUGUUUUUGUUUUAAGGAAUGACUUUGAUUUUGGGAAUUUGG
Long non-coding RNA from Lycium ferocissimum, 2532 nucleotides. RefSeq lists it as uncharacterized. The record is from RefSeq and is a predicted model, not a curated record. NCBI's taxonomy places the organism in Eukaryota, Viridiplantae, Streptophyta, Magnoliopsida, Solanales, Solanaceae. The transcript is spliced from 9 exons.